Long non-coding RNA from Populus nigra (black poplar), 5108 nucleotides. RefSeq lists it as uncharacterized. Lineage: Eukaryota; Viridiplantae; Streptophyta; Magnoliopsida; Malpighiales; Salicaceae. The record is from RefSeq and is a predicted model, not a curated record. The transcript is spliced from 2 exons.
UUAAUUGAAGAAUUUAUGUGAUUGCUUAGAUUGUUUGCUUGUUCAGAGAAAGGAACUGCAGUUCUAGAACUGCAAAAUUUUUGCAGAUGCAUUCAUGUUCAUGUUCUUGAAAUAUUCUGCAAAUCUGAGUAAUGGUUUAUGUGCCUGUGCUAACAAUCUCUUCAUGCUGUCAUAAACAACCAUGAAAAUUGGGGAAACUACAGUUUUGAGGAAUUGAACCAUGGCAUGGCAGAGCAAUUCGCAAUGAUUUCUAGAGAACAGGGAGGUAUCAUGAAAUUCAUUCAAGUUUCUUGCUUUGGAGCAUCUGCAUCAUCUCAUCAAGAGUGCUAAGAGCUAAGGCUGCUGGAGAGGAAGCUGUUUUGAGAGAAAUGCAUCGAGGUAAAUAUUUAGUCUUGGUUUUACUAUGGCCCAUGCUAAUGAUGCAUUAUUUGGGUUUUUUAAAGUGAUCAUAUCAUGGGAGCCAAGUUUCAACCCUACAGCGAUCUAGAUGCAUACACUGCUUUGUUAUCACCAUUUAUGUGCUUUGUGUUUCUUAAUGUAAAAUAGAGGCUGUGAAAAUUGGUUUUGAAGAAGAAUGGCUAUUUUGGAGCUGUCAUUUAGCUUGUUAAGCCCAAUGGUGGAUCAAAAUUGCAUCCUACAUUUCAGUAUAUUUUGCACCAUUCCUCUGGAAUGGAGCAUUUUGCUUCUACUUGUUACCUUGAUCCAACAAAAGUAUGUGUCCCCUCUAUUCUAUCCACUUUCCCAUGGAAAUAUUUUUGUUACUUUGGAGGGGAAGCUCAUUUCCCAUGGAAAUACUCGCGGGAACGAUGGCUGUUCUCUUCCCAUUCCUUUCAACUCUUUCUCUUAUUACUUUUACUUUUACUUUUAGGAGUGUUAAAAAAAACUGACCAACUGGGAAAACCUUUUUUAAAAAAUUAACUGAAAACAAAACUGCAAGAAAAAACUGAAGAAACCAAUUUAAAAACCAAAUUAACCCUAAAACAUUUCCCCCUUUUUCCUUUGACAGCAGCUGCUAGCUGCAUCUCCUCCUAUCAUAUAUCUCUCAUUCUCCCUUGAAAGAUUACCUUAAAUCCAUCGAUUGUUCCUUUUUGGCUGCAGCUGCCCUUCCCCACCCCCCUUCCCUCUCUGUCAUUCUUCCUUUUUGAUCGAAGACCCAAUCCAUCAAUUUCAAGGUAAUCUUCAAUUUUCUUUUUUAAUUUCUCAUAAUUUGGAUUUUAAUUAGUAGUUAGGGUUUUUCUUACUCGCUUUUGAAAUUUCUUAAUUAGUAACUGUAAUAUUUUUUCUCCUCUCUCUUGACAGUCGCUGUGAGUUCAUGACUCAUUUCUCUUCUCUGUUCUGUUUAUUCUCUUGCGAACAUGGUAUGUUGUUUUUUUUUUUAAUUUUAAUUGAUAGCUGAUUUUAAUUUUGUAAUUUAAAGGCAUUUCAGGUUCAAAUUGGGUUUUGAUUAAGUAUUUUGUUUUGAUACCAAAAAAAGAAAAGAAAAAACGAAGAAGUAUUCAGUGACUCAGUGCAACCUAUUUUCAGGUUUUAUCCAUGACAAUGAACUAACCUAACUUAAUAGAUAUUAAUGCUAGAUUGUUUGAUUAUUUAAACUUGCUGUUAAUAUAAAUUUUUAGGUUUUGAUGAUCCAUGACAAUAAACCAAGAUAAUAUUAAUAGAUAUUAAGUUUGAUUAUUCUUUGAUUAAAUUUACUAUUAAUAUAAUUUUUUUGGUAUUGAUGAAGGAUUUUAGUGACUAACCUAAUGUUAAUAGAUAUUAAUGCUAGAUUCAUUUGGGUAGUUGUAAUUUUUUAGCUUGUAAUAUAUUGUUAUUACUUAAUUGGUUGCUGUUAAUUAUUAGUUAAUUUGUAUUAUCAUUAUUUUUUUUAUUUCAGAUAGAUAAUUAGAAAGAUCCUACAUUAAAGAAAUCAAAUCCUUUAAGUUUGGAACCCAAUCCUUCACCUAUUCCGGUCACUACCUCUAGUAUAAAUAAUAAUAUUGAAGGUAACAAUCAUCCACCUUCUAGAUCUAAUAAAAAAAAAUCUCAAAUUUAGAAUUACUUUAAAAAACUUGACGGUGAUUCUAAAGAAAGACUAUGAUUGUCAUCUAAGUAUGCAAGAAUUUAUUUUUAUUUUUUUUGUGAUUAAUCUAGAGCAAAAAACUUUGGUUUUAGAACCUAAGUCCUAAAAUAAAAAGGGGUUGGUAAGGGAGAGGAAAAUUUGAUAACUAUUAAGGCAGUUGAAAAGCCCUAACAAAAUGAUUUAACUUUGUAGAGAAUCAAUGAUUUAAAUCUUUUUGUUGGAUAGUGCAACCUAAAUUUAAUGUUCCUUCUCGUUUGAUGUUUGAUGAUUUAAAGAGAUUGUUCGAAAAUUUAUAUAGAUGAGAAAGUAAAUUAAAGAAAGCUUUCAAUGGGCAGUUAAUGAAUAUGUUUAAUAACUGAUAUCUGGAAGGUAAAUUAAAGAAAGCUUUCAAUGGGCAGUUAAUGAGUAUGUUUAAUAACUGAUAUCUGGGUAUCAAUCCAAAAUAUUAAUUAUAUGUGUUUAAAUAGAAGAAUUCUAAACUUUUAAAAGUGAAACAACUUGCUUAAGCAAUUGGGAGUUGUUUGUUGAAAUAAGAAAUUGAUAAGAUUUUAAUGGUUACAAUAGACAAUGUAAAUUCAAAUAAUUUUACUAUUAAAUAUUUGAAGAGAGCAACAAAUGGUUAGGUAAGUAAUAUGUUGUCAAAUGAUUUCAUGCAUGUUAGAUGUUAUGCAUAUAUUGUUAAUUUUAUUGCAUGUGUGUGAUUGAAAAAUAUUCGAAAUGCAGUUAACUUUGUUAGAUUUUCUCCUUCUAGACAACUUGUAUUUAACCAAGAUGUUAAUAUUGUUAAUUCAAUGGUGAUAAUAAUAUGUCAGAUGACUUGACUUUUCAAUUCAAAAAACAUUUAGGGUUUAUUUGUUUUGCGUAAAAUAUGUUAUAGGAAAAUGUUUUCCAAAUGUUUUCUAUGUUUAUUUUCAAAAAAUAUUUUCUAGAAAAUGCUUUUUUGUAUUUGUUUCCUGUAAAAUAUUUUACAGAUAACCUUCAAAUCUAGUUUAUUUGCUUAAAAAUAUUUUUAACUCAAGAAGUUCCAUAAAACAUUUUACAGGAAAACAUUUUAUGGGAAAAAUAUGUUACAUCUGUAAAAUAUUUUAAGCAAAACAAACGCAUUCUUAAAGGAGAAAGAUGAUGCGAGAAGAAAAAAUGAUGUUAAGAUGUAUAUUUAAGUGAUGGUUAUGAGGAUAUUAAUGAUUUUAAAUUAGAUAUUUUAGGUUAGUAGAGAUGUAAUGCCAUAAAAUACAAGAUUAUUUCUAAUGUGGCAUAACAGGUGUUAGAUAUUCCGGUAUCUACAAUUGUUUCUAAAGUAGCCUUCAACACUAGCAGUUGUAUAUUACAUCCAUUUUGAAGCUUUUUAUCUUCAUCAACAAUGUAAGCACUUGUUUGUUAUCAAAAUUGGUUAUGGUUAGCAUCAAUUCCAAUCGAUAUUAGAGUAUUUAUGGAUUAUAUAGAAAAUUCUUAUAUGAUUGAGUCAAGUAAUUUGUUUUAUAAAUUUAAAAUUAGUUAUUUUAUAUCAUCGUUUCUUUACAUGUUUAAUUUAUGAUUUUGUAGAACUUGGAAAAUUUGAAAAUCUCUAUUAAUUGUUUUUUUUGGGUGAUGUUGGUGAAAUGCUAGAAUAUUUGACUUGCUGAACCUUGUAAUUUUGCAUUUUUAAUUUUUUUACUAGUCAUUGCUAAUUUUGCAAGCGUUUCUUUAUUUUGUAGUUGAUGGAUUUUCUAGACUGUAAACAUCCCUAAUUACUAUUAGUGAUUGUUAAAGUGUUUUCAUUGCAGAUUUCUAAAUAAACUACGAUGUAUCAUAAAUAUUUGAGUAAACGAUUGAGACUCGAUUGAUAAUUUUAUUGCAUAUUAAGGUCUAUUUUGGUGCUUUGGAUGCAAGCACUUAAUGAGUAUAUGUCUAAUUUUCAUAAUGUUUUUAGGGUAAAUUUGAUAAAAUCAAAAGACUUGAGACUCGGAUUGAUAAUAAUGAGGUGAUGUGCUUGGGGUUAAAUUGAUGUUUCCCAUCAUAAGGAUUAAAUUGUAAAUUUUAUAAAAUAUAGGAAUAAAAACUUGCAAAUAAGAACCAAUUUGUAAAUAAAAAAAUAUGGAUUAAAAUAAAUAUUCAAAAAUUAUAAGAACUAAAAUAAAAAUUUAUCAAGUCUCCAUUAGAUUAUUAAAAAAUUUGCAACAAAACAAACGAAUAUAAUGAAGAAUUCCAUCCCAGUCCCUUAUAUUUCGCAUGUUGCAUAAUACAAAAUAUAAUGUAGGUGUAUUACACAUUUGAGAUUAGUUUCCCAUUUUUAGAAGCAAGGUAUCCGUUUUUUUUUUUUUUUUCAAUUGAUUGGGCAACCGAAUUCAGAAAGGUUUCGUUUUGUCUAAUGCUAUAUGGUUUUCUUGGCAAUCAAUGAAAGCAAUGGUGCUCUUCCUAGAAUGAAUUAUUAUAUCUAGCCCGAUCUACCAAGUUGAUAAAGACUCGACCGACUUAUUAUUUAGCUUGACCUGAAAGGUUGAUUCGAGACUUAGUUAAUUUAGAGUCUUUUUAGUCCAGCUUUUAAAAAAAAAAAAAAAAUUAAGGAGUUGACCAAUAUGAUAACUAAUUAAUCAAUUUAUGUCCUAGUUGGACUAAAAAAUUAAAACAAAAUCAUUUGAUUAUCUCGGGUCAAUUCAAGUUAACUUGGCUAACUUGUAACUUAUCUUAGACCGAGUCAUAUGCUGGGUCGGAUUUAUAGACUGUGAUUAGACUCUACGGUACUCUAGGGUUAUGGUAUUUAUGUAUUUUUAUAAGAUGAUGAUUUUAUUUGUCAUGUAACAUACUCUACGGUACUCUAGACCGAGUCAUAUGCUGGGUCGGAUUUAUGGACUGUGAUUAGACUCUACGGUACUCUAGGGUUAUGGUAUUUAUGUAUUUUUAUAAGAUGAUGAUUUUAUUUGUCAUGUAACAUACUUCAAUUGAAGCAUGGGAAUGUUGAAGAAUAUGUGCAAAUCUCCCAAUUUCCAAUGGCUUAAGCAACACAAGAAGCACUAGAUUGUGACUCAAGUCAUUCCAUGGGAACAUUACCUUUCCUUGUAGCAUAAGAAAA